Molecule: ribosomal RNA, 388 nt
Filed under: Staphylococcus pseudintermedius
Lineage: Bacteria; Bacillati; Bacillota; Bacilli; Caryophanales; Staphylococcaceae
Description: partial 23S ribosomal RNA
Rfam family: Bacterial large subunit ribosomal RNA
Source: RNAcentral
CCUGAGUACGACGGAGCACGUGAAAUUCCGUCGGAAUCUGGGAGGACCAUCUCCUAAGGCUAAAUACUCUCUAGUGACCGAUAGUGAACCAGUACCGUGAGGGAAAGGUGAAAAGUACCCCGGAAGGGGAGUGAAAGAGAACUUGAAACCGUGUGCUUACAAGUAGUCAGAGCCCGUUAAUGGGUGAUGGCGUGCCUUUUGUAGAAUGAACCGGCGAGUUACGAUCUGAUGCAAGGUUAAGCAGAAAAUGUGGAGCCGUAGCGAAAGCGAGUCUGAAUAGGGCGAAUGAGUAUUUGGUCGUAGACCCGAAACCAGGUGAUCUACCCUUGGUCAGGUUGAAGUUCAGGUAACACUGAAUGGAGGACCGAACCGACUUACGUUGAAAAGU